RNAcentral lists this ribosomal RNA (501 nucleotides) under Cryptocephalus bipunctatus. RNAcentral's name for it is "partial 12S ribosomal RNA". Lineage: Eukaryota; Metazoa; Arthropoda; Insecta; Coleoptera; Chrysomelidae. The record is from RNAcentral.
ACAUAUUCUAGAGCCUGAUUCAUUAUAUUUUAAUAAAUAUAAUUACUGCCAAAUCCUAAAAAAAUAAAAUUUACAAAUUUAAACUUAUAAAUGUAGCCCAUCUCUUCUUUUAAAAGCUGCACCUUGAUUUGAUUUAAGAUAAAAUUUUAUAUAAAGAAAAUUCUAUUUCUUAAGAAAUAUUCAUUUUAACAACGAUAUACAAACAAUUAUAAAAGUAAAAUAAAUUGUGAAUUAUCAAUUACAGGACAGGCUCCUCUGAAAGGUUAGAAUACCGCCAAGACAUUUAAUUUUGAAGCACUUAACUAAUACUAAUCCGGUUUUCAUUAUUACAAUUUAAAUAACAGGGUAUCUAAUCCUGGUUUAUAAAUAAAUUUUUCUAGAUCAUUUAACCUAUCAAUUCAAUCUUUACAUUAAAAUUUCACCUCUCAAUAUAAAAUUUCAAGAUUUUGAAAUAAUUAACUAAAACCGUAAAAAUUAAGUUACCCCUUUUGUGUAACCGCA